ACCGCCGUCACACCACGAAAGUUGGUAACACCCGAAGCCGGUGGCCCAACCCUUGGGAGGGAGCCGUCGAAGGUGGGAUCAGCGAGUUGGGGUGAAGUCGUAACAACGGUACC
RNAcentral lists this ribosomal RNA (113 nucleotides) under uncultured bacterium. RNAcentral's name for it is "partial 16S ribosomal RNA". It matches the Rfam family "Bacterial small subunit ribosomal RNA", at positions 1389 to 1500 of the family's 1533-position model. The record is from RNAcentral.